GCGUUGUUCGGAAUCAUUGGGCGUAAAGCGCGUGUAGGCGGUUUGUUAAGUCGAGUGUGAAAUCCCUGGGCUCAACCGAGGAAGUGCAUUCGAAACUAACUGGCUAGAAGACGGUAGAGGAAGGUGGAAUUCCAAGUGUAGAGGUGAAAUUCGUAGAUAUUUGGAGGAAUACCGGUGGCGAAGGCGGCCUUCUGGACCGAUCUUGACGCUGAGACGCGAAAGCGUG
Molecule: ribosomal RNA, 226 nt
Filed under: uncultured bacterium
Lineage: Bacteria
Description: partial 16S ribosomal RNA
Rfam family: Bacterial small subunit ribosomal RNA
Source: RNAcentral